This 72-nucleotide transfer RNA is filed under the name Marmota monax (woodchuck). Its description in RNAcentral is "tRNA.Undet". Lineage: Eukaryota; Metazoa; Chordata; Mammalia; Rodentia; Sciuridae. The record is from RNAcentral.
GGGGUUGUGGCUCAGCGGUAGAACGCUCGCAUGGAUGCACGAGGGGCCCUGAGUUCGAUCCUCAGCACCACA